GUCAGGAUGGCCGAGCGGUCUAAGGCGCGAGACUCAAGUUCUUGUCCUCGUAAGAGGGCGUGGGUUCAAAUCCCACUUCUGACA
This is a transfer RNA of Eutrema salsugineum, 84 nucleotides long. It matches the Rfam family "tRNA". From Rfam's summary of the family: Transfer RNA (tRNA) molecules are approximately 80 nucleotides in length. Their secondary structure includes four short double-helical elements and three loops (D, anti-codon, and T loops). The record is from Rfam. NCBI's taxonomy places the organism in Eukaryota, Viridiplantae, Streptophyta, Magnoliopsida, Brassicales, Brassicaceae.